UACGUAGGGGGCUAGCGUUGUCCGGAAUCAUUGGGCGUAAAGAGCGCGUAGGCGGCCAGAUAAGUCCGGUGUGAAAGUCACAGGCUCAACCUGUGAAUGCCGCUGGAAACUGUCUGGCUAGAGUCCGGGAGGGGCGAGUGGAAUUCCUGGUGUAGCGGUGAAAUGCGCAGAUAUCGGGAGGAACACCAAUGGCGAAGGCAGCUCGCUGGGACGUGACUGACGCUGAGACGCGAAAGCGUGGGGAGCAAACAGG
This 253-nucleotide ribosomal RNA is filed under the name uncultured bacterium. RNAcentral's name for it is "partial 16S ribosomal RNA". It matches the Rfam family "Bacterial small subunit ribosomal RNA", at positions 524 to 776 of the family's 1533-position model. The record is from RNAcentral.